This is a long non-coding RNA of Lemur catta (Ring-tailed lemur), 170 nucleotides long. RefSeq lists it as uncharacterized. The transcript is spliced from 3 exons. NCBI's taxonomy places the organism in Eukaryota, Metazoa, Chordata, Mammalia, Primates, Lemuridae. The record is from RefSeq and is a predicted model, not a curated record.
UGACAUACCAGGGAAGGGGUAUAGGACUAGGGUGAGGAGAGUGAGCCACUUGCCUUGGAAACAACUCCAGAAGUACAGAAAUCAAGGUAUGGCCCUUAUCCUCAUGGUCCAAGAUGAACUGCAGCCAUCACAUCCAUGUUCCAAGCAGAAAUAUGGAGAAAGGAGAAGAG